RNAcentral lists this ribosomal RNA (564 nucleotides) under uncultured bacterium. Its description in RNAcentral is "partial 16S ribosomal RNA". It matches the Rfam family "Bacterial small subunit ribosomal RNA", at positions 355 to 938 of the family's 1533-position model. The record is from RNAcentral.
UGGGGAAUAUUGCACAAUGGGCGAAAGCCUGAUGCAGCAACGCCGCGUGAGUGAUGAAGGCCUUCGGGUUGUAAAGCUCUGUCUUUUGGGACGAUAAUGACGGUACCAAAGGAGGAAGCCACGGCUAACUACGUGCCAGCAGCCGCGGUAAUACGUAGGUGGCAAGCGUUGUCCGGAUUUACUGGGCGUAAAGGAUGCGUAGGCGGAUUUUUAAGUGAGAUGUGAAAACCCUAAGCUUAACUUGGGGACUGCAUUUCAUACUGGAAAUCUAGAGUGCGGGAGAGGAGAAUGGAAUUCCUAGUGUAGCGGUGAAAUGCGUAGAGAUUAGGAAGAACACCAGUGGCGAAGGCGAUUCUCUGGACCGUAACUGACGCUGAGGCAUGAAAGCGUGGGUAGCAAACAGGAUUAGAUACCCUGGUAGUCCACGCCGUAAACGAUGAGUACUAGGUGUAGGAGGUAUCGACCCCUUCUGUGCCGCAGUUAACACAAUAAGUACUCCGCCUGGGAAGUACGAUCGCAAGAUUAAAAACUUAAAUGAAUUGACGGGGGUCAUAGCUGUUUCCU